Molecule: ribosomal RNA, 497 nt
Filed under: uncultured bacterium
Lineage: Bacteria
Description: partial 16S ribosomal RNA
Rfam family: Bacterial small subunit ribosomal RNA
Source: RNAcentral
GAUGAACGCUGGCGGCGUGCCUAAUACAUGCAAGUCGAGCGAACAGACGAGGAGCUUGCUCCUCUGUCGUUAGCGGCGGACGGGUGAGUAACACGUGGAUAACCUACCUAUAAGACUGGGAUAACUUCGGGAAACCGGAUCUAAUACCGGAUAAUAUAUUGAACCGCAUGGUUCAAUAGUGAAAGACGGUUUUGCUGUCUCUUAUAGAUGGAUCCGCGCCGCAUUAGCUAGUUGGUAAGGUAACGGCCUACCAAGGCAACGAUGCGUAGCCGACCUGAGAGGGUGAUCGGCCACACUGGAACUGAGACACGGUCCAGACUCCUACGGGAGGCAGCAGUAGGGAAUCUUCCGCAAUGGGCGAAAGCCUGACGGAGCAACGCCGCGUGAGUGAUGAAGGUCUUCGGAUCGUAAAACUCUGUUAUUAGGGAAGAACAAAUGUGUAAGUAACUAUGCACGUCUUGACGGUACCUAAUCAGAAAGCCACGGCUAACUACGUG